UAGUGUCUCAAGGCGGUGUAGUU
This 23-nucleotide non-coding RNA is filed under the name Arabidopsis thaliana (thale cress). Lineage: Eukaryota; Viridiplantae; Streptophyta; Magnoliopsida; Brassicales; Brassicaceae. The record is from RNAcentral.